RNA transcript from Camponotus floridanus (Florida carpenter ant), 3423 nucleotides. It is a transcript of the gene named protein NDRG3, with no coding region annotated. NCBI's taxonomy places the organism in Eukaryota, Metazoa, Arthropoda, Insecta, Hymenoptera, Formicidae. The transcript is spliced from 10 exons. The record is from RefSeq and is a predicted model, not a curated record.
CAGCCAGUCCGUGGUUGGAGCCGUGCACUUGGGCCAAUAGUAACCGUACGACAUCGUCGAGUACACCGUGCGCUCCUCAAGAGACCUCAGUCUCGUCGUGGUGCUCCAUCUUCUCGCAACGUCACGUCUAAAGGUCGACGCAAAUCGAGCGGGCGAUCUGCGCGGGUCGAUUGUCAAAUUGCAUAAGGUUUACGGUCGCUCCGAUUGCGCGCGUCCCCCGUAAGAGACGGGACGACUCUCAUCGCGACUGUAAGAACGCGUCGAGGUUCUCUCUGGUGAACGCGUUCAAAGGCUGCGCGAAAGCUGCAACUCUUCUUUGGCACUCGGAUCCCGCAGCGGAACUCGCGUAGGAAGAGCAGCAGCAGCAACGUCUCUCUCAGCUCCAAGCGCCUUCGAGGCGAUUCCUCGCCGAGAGGCCAACUAUCUGGACGGAAAUCGUCAUCCUCGACUAGCACGACGAUCAAGUAGAUCGUAUCGGGUGAGGAACGACUUCGCGAACGAGACAGGACGACGGAAGUCACGCCAUGCCGGCAGGUAUUGGCGCUUCGUACAGGUCGUUAGGCGACCUGGGCGAAGACGUUUACAAAAGCACGACCAUCGUCGACCAGACACAGACUACCGGCCAGAGCGUCCUCGAAUCUGUCAAGAAGGCUUUUAGUUUCGCCUCGCCAAAGGUUGAGAUCCGGAAGAAAGACCCGCUGAUUGAGGACCGUCCCGAAAGCAUCACGAUUGUCCCAAGGGAGAAAAACAGGAUGCCGACAGCAGCCACUGCCGAGGAAUCUGCUCUUUUGGGCACGAUGCCUUCCGAUAGCAUGGAUGACAUUGAGCUGAAGAACAUUCAGUUGCAAUUUCCGCCAUUGAGAUACCUCUCUAGAGAUGAUGGCUCUGUACGAGAAGAAAGGGUGGAGACCGAUAAGGGAAGUUUGUUGGUGGCAGUGCAAGGAAAUCGAGCGAAACCAGCUAUCCUCACUUAUCACGAUCUAGGCCUUAACUACAUUUCGAGCUUCCAGGCAUUCUUCAAUUACAUCGACAUGCGUGUUUUACUCGAAAACUUUUGCGUGUAUCACGUAAACGCACCCGGACAAGAGGAAGGCGCGCCGACACUCCCCGAAGAUUACACUUAUCCGUCCAUGGAAGAACUGGCUGAACAGCUGCUCUUCAUUUUCGGCCAUUUUGGCAUAAAAUCCGUAAUUGGUUUCGGGGUCGGUGCCGGCGCCAAUAUUCUGGCAAGAUUUGCACUCGCCCAUCCGGAGAAAGUAAAUGCACUGUGCCUGAUAAACUGUGUAUCCACGCAGGCAGGAUGGAUCGAAUGGGGUUAUCAAAAAUUGAACGUACGCCAUCUGAGAUCGCAAGGCAUGACGCAAGGGGUUCUCGAUUAUCUGAUGUGGCAUCAUUUCGGCAGGGGGACCGAGGAGCGGAAUCAUGAUUUGGUUCAAGUAUACAAGAGCUACUUUGAGCGUCGCGUGAAUCCAACGAAUCUCGCAUUAUUUAUCGACAGUUAUGUUCGUCGUACGGAUCUGAAUAUAACGAGGGAAUUAGAUCCAACGCGCAAGAAGGAAGGAUUGACGCUUAGUGUACCGGUGAUGAACAUCACGGGUGCUCUAAGCCCUCACGUCGACGACACCGUAACGUUAAAUGGACGUUUGGAUCCAACAAACAGCUCCUGGAUGAAGAUAUCGGAUUGCGGUAUGGUACUGGAAGAACAGCCGGGUAAAGUCAGCGAGGCAUUCCGACUGUUUCUUCAGGGCGAAGGAUAUGUGGUGAGAUCCCCGCGGAAGCCCGUGAAGCCGACAACACCCGAAGGUAAUUGUAAUUAGGAAUUGAAGGCCGCAAGGAGAGUCGAGCGCGCAGUUGGUCAAUUAGGCCACGUCUAUAUGUUAAUGGCCCCUCUGUCGCCGUUAAAAAUGGCCGACUACCGACUGGCUUCGUUAGAGGGAUUGAAUCACGUUUGCAGCAAGAAGAUCGACUGGCCUACUGCGACUAUACACAUCACGGAGAAUCCAAUAUCGGAGGCAGUCGUCUGUUAAAUGUUAAUCGGCGAAUUUCAUCAUCAUCAUGAUUUUCCUUACGCAGAUGAAUAUAAUUGGAAGAUGAUGCAACUCGAUUGAUAUCAACAAUUUAGAAAGGUUUCGUCAACGAUCAGAGCAACGAUCCUUCGCGGCACUAAUCGCUGUUUUCCUUUUUUCGGAGCUUACGUCGGCACGAUUUUAUUAUUUUAAUCGCGAUUUGCUUUAGAUCGACGAGAUACGCGUUUCAUAAUAAAUGUUUAAUUCUGACUAAUUAUAAGUUAAGAGCUUUAACGAAGGGAUUUACUAUAGUUAAGAGACAUUCAGAUGUUUUGUCAAUAUUAUACUUAUGCAAUGUUGUUAGCAGUAUCGAUUUAUUAAGGAUAAAUAAGAAAACAAUAGUAUUAUUGUACGAUUAGGUGCGAUACGUUGAAUUUUAUUUUUAAGAAAUUUAAUAAGAGAACGGUGCGGAGAAGCAACUUUGACAUCGUUUAUUUUUUAUCAUCAAAAAUUAUAUUUCGCAAUUGUUUUAACGGAUUCACAAUUAAUUGUUUGUUUAAACAUUUACUUAAAUGACGAGAAGAUAUUUUUAAAAAUCUCCUUUUUCUCUAUAAAUGUGUUAAUAUUUGCGCAAAUUUUAAAAAUUGUUUAACAUUUCGAGAUAUAUUUCUAUAUACAUGAGUAUACGUUAACACAAACGGAGUCGUUACAAGUUUCCAUAAACGUAAACUAAAUACGUAACUGAAUACAAUGACAAAAGGAUUAUUAGAAGCAUAAGAAGAUGAGAUUUUUCUUAACGUAAGAUGCGAAAAGAAUUCCCAUGUAAAUAUUAAUUUUGAAGAAAACGAUUCAUUACGGAAAUUCUGAGUAAAUAUCGAAAACGUAUUAAAUAAAGUUACAAGAUAUCGAAUAUGUAUGACAGCAAGACAUAAAGAAAUGCGCGUUUUUCGUGUUUAUUACAAGAGAAAAUCGUAUGAAGCGCAAAUGAAGAGCAACUUUUAACGAGUUAAGAUAGCUUGUUAAUGAAACAACGUCGAAAUAAAUUCCGUCUAUACCUGCCGCGCAGUUUAUAAUUUAAGGAAUACUCGCAAUAUAUUGCGGAUUAAAUAAAUAAAAAUACAAAUACUCUCAAUAAAAACACAAAUACUCCAUCAAAAGCUAAAGCGAAAAAUAGUCUUAUUUGCUGAUAAUAUGUAAAAGUAACAUAAAACUAAGUUUUUCUUACAUUUUGAGAAAACUACCUAAGCAGCUUAUAUACGCUUUUACGCAACACGAUGAUAAAGAAUCAACCAAUCCUGAGCAUUUAUAAUUGCGAUAUUUUUUUUCACUAUUUUAUACAGAUAAGUUAAAUUAUGAUUAUUUGAGACUUUGAAAUAAGAAAGAUCAAAUGGAUAAUAAAAUGUGCGUUCAGAAUCGA